RNAcentral lists this ribosomal RNA (579 nucleotides) under uncultured cyanobacterium. RNAcentral's name for it is "bacterial SSU rRNA". It matches the Rfam family "Bacterial small subunit ribosomal RNA", at positions 79 to 685 of the family's 1533-position model. Lineage: Bacteria; Bacillati; Cyanobacteriota. The record is from RNAcentral.
CCUCCCCCCGUACUCAUUCCUCCCUUCGGCGGAGGGGUGAGUAACGCGUGAGAAUCUACCUAUAGGUUGGGGACAACAGUUAGAAACGGCUGAUAAUACCGAAUGUGUCGCAAGAUGAAAGAUUUAUCGCCUAAAGAUGAGCUCGCGUCUGAUUAGCUAGUUGGUGGGGUAAAGGCUCACCAAGGCGACGAUCAGUAGGUGGUCUGAGAGGAUGAUCAGCCACACUGGGAAUGAGACACGGCCCAGACUCCUACGGGAGGCAGCAGUGGGGAAUUUUCCGCAAUGGGCGAAAGCCUGACGGAGCAACGCCGCGUGAGGGAGGAAGGCUCUUGGGUUGUAAACCUCUUUUAUCAAGGAAGAUAAUGACGGUACUUGAUGAAUCAGCAUCGGCUAACUCCGUGCCAGCAGCCGCGGUAAUACGGAGGAUGCAAGCGUUAUCCGGAAUAAUUGGGCGUAAAGCGUUCGUAGGUGGUUAUGUAAGUCUGCUGUUAAAGCCCGCAGCUCAACUACAUAUCGGCGGUGGAAACUACAUGACUAGAGUGCGUUCGGGGCAGAGGGAAUUCCUGGUGUAGCGGCGAA